Molecule: ribosomal RNA, 484 nt
Filed under: uncultured bacterium
Lineage: Bacteria
Description: partial 16S ribosomal RNA
Rfam family: Bacterial small subunit ribosomal RNA
Source: RNAcentral
AUUGAACGCUGGCGGCAGGCCUAACACAUGCAAGUCGAGCGGAUGAAGGGAGCUUGCUCCUGGAUUCAGCGGCGGACGGGUGAGUAAUGCCUAGGAAUCUGCCUGGUAGUGGGGGAUAACGUCCGGAAACGGGCGCUAAUACCGCAUACGUCCUGAGGGAGAAAGUGGGGGAUCUUCGGACCUCACGCUAUCAGAUGAGCAUAGGUCGGAUUAGCUAGUUGGUGGGGUAAAGGCCUACCAAGGCGACGAUCCGUAACUGGUCUGAGAGGAUGAUCAGUCACACUGGAACUGAGACACGGUCCAGACUCCUACGGGAGGCCGCAGUGGGGAAUAUUGGACAAAGGGCGAAAGCCUGAUCCAGCCCUGCCGCGUGUGUGAAGAAGGUCUUCGGAUUGUAAAGCACUUUAAGUUGGGAGGAAGGGCAGUAAGUUAAUACCUUGCUGUUUUGACGUUACCAACAGAAUAAGCACCGGCUAACUUCGUG